This 347-nucleotide unclassified non-coding RNA is filed under the name uncultured fungus. RNAcentral describes it as "sequence contains ITS2". The record is from RNAcentral. Lineage: Eukaryota; Fungi.
AACGCAUAUUGCACUCUCUGGUAUUCCGGAGAGUAUGCCUGUUUCAGUAUCAGUAAACACCAUCAAACAUUUGUUUGGAUUUGAGCGUUGCCGAGAAAAAACUUAGCCCUUUUUUCGGCCUGCUCGAAAUGCAAGUACACAGGACAAGGAUCCCCAGACCACUCCGAGGUGUGAAUUAAAAAAAAAAAGCGUCGUAGUUGACUUGACAGUCUUCCUUUCGCUGAAAAUGAACACCCCGGUUUUUUUUGGGACCUUUUGCUGUGCAAAUUCGCAGGAAGAAAAAAGGAACACAAUUCCUUUGUUCACUUCUUGAUCUGAAAUCAGGUAGGACUACCCGCUGAACUUAA